Corapipo altera (White-ruffed manakin) is the source of this 201-nucleotide long non-coding RNA. RefSeq lists it as uncharacterized. Lineage: Eukaryota; Metazoa; Chordata; Aves; Passeriformes; Pipridae. The transcript has 2 exons. The record is from RefSeq and is a predicted model, not a curated record.
CCUCCUGGAAAAUUGAAUCCAACUGAAGAUUCCUGCCAGACAAAAGGUGCCACCACAGAAAGCUCUUGCUGCCCAAGAAGUGCGCAGGCUGCCCCAAAAACUGCACCUCAAAACCAAAGAUUCCAGACUUUUUUUCCUAGUGGAAAGGGCUGCUGUUCCCUUUUUUCAGCCCUGCUCUGCAAUGGCCUGUCCUACCUCCUG